UCCGUAGGUGAACCUGCGGAGGAUCAUUA
This 29-nucleotide ribosomal RNA is filed under the name Pseudopyrenochaeta lycopersici. RNAcentral's name for it is "partial 18S ribosomal RNA". The record is from RNAcentral. RNAcentral also lists the same sequence under 2 other names. Lineage: Eukaryota; Fungi; Ascomycota; Dothideomycetes; Pleosporales; Pseudopyrenochaetaceae.